AUAUCAAUAAGCGGAGGAAAAGAAACUAACAAGGAUUCCCCUAGUAACGGCGAGUGAAGAGGGAACAGCCCAAAUUUGUAAUCUGGUUCUUUCAGAAUCCGAGUUGUAAUUUCAAGAACUGUUUUCCGUGCUGGGCCAUGUACAAGUCUGUUGGAAUAUAGCUUCAUAGAGGGUGAGAAUCCCGUACAUGACAUGGACAAUCAGUACUUUGUGAUACAGUUUCUAAGAGUCGAGUUGUUUGGGAAUGCAGCUCAAAAUGGGUGGUAAAUUCCAUCUAAGGCUAAAUAUUAGCGAGAGACCGAUAGCGAACAGGUACCGUGAGGGAAAGAUUAAAAGCACUUUGGAAAGAGAGUUAACAGUAC
This 362-nucleotide ribosomal RNA is filed under the name uncultured fungus. RNAcentral describes it as "eukaryotic LSU rRNA". It matches the Rfam family "Eukaryotic large subunit ribosomal RNA", at positions 40 to 398 of the family's 3401-position model. The record is from RNAcentral. Lineage: Eukaryota; Fungi.